CUAAUACAAAUGAUCAGAAAUUACAACCAAAGACUCUAAAUCUUUUUCACCAGUUGCAGUAGAAUAAUUCAAAAGUUCGAUAUAUACAUAAUCUGUCACCAACUAUCGCCGGUCUUGAUCAAUUCUUCAUCAGCUAGCCUUGUAAGAAUUAAUAUGAGAAGGCUGCAGUUCAAUUUCUUAACAAGCAAAUCUUAAUGUAAGCAGAUAUAAACACUGGAAUUUAUGCUCUGGAUCAGUGCUCAUAUGAUACUGUAGUCACUGAUUGUAUAGGUCCCAGCUGGUAAAAAAGAGAGCUUUAGCAAGCUCAGGCUGAAAGUCAGCCUUUAGCUUUUGGUUACACAUACGAACAAUCUUUCAGAUAAGGGUUACUGUUCAGCGUCAAACAGAAACCAAAUGAAAAAUUAUCUUCCGUUCCUUGCUUUUCUGAUGCUGUUUGUAUGCUUUCUAUAGACAUCCAUGCUUCCUCCUCUCAGAAUACAAGCCUUUAGUAUUAUAAACAACUACUGUUUGCACAAUUGCACCGAUGCCGCUGUAAAUCUCAGUAGAUCGAUCCAAAGGAAAUUGAAAAGAAAAACGAGAAUCGGGCUCAUGGCGUUUCUUCUCUUGUCUUCCUCCUUGCAGUUGUAUGGAAAUAAUGGACAUGCCUGUAUACUAAUGUUAACAGAUCUGUGAAAAGAGUAUGUUAAAAUACAGUUUUCAUCAUGCAAGGAUCAAGUUGGGGCAUAUACACAUAGGGUAAAGCGAUUACAGUGCCUGAAAAUGGAAGAUGUCUUUAACCAGCAGGGUGGAACUUCUCAGCAAACAUGAGAAACGGUUCUGAAUUUAUAUUUUAAAUAUUCAUAGUUUAACAAAAAGGAAAGGCAACAGUGACCGUUAAUGCAAAGUGCUUAUGUGUGUCUCUAAGAAUAAAGUAACAUGUGAACCUAAAACUGCAUUUGCAGUGAUCAAAAUUAGCAUGCUUCAGAUAUUUCAAAUAAACAGAGCAUUGCUUUUAUUUCCAUUAAAAAAGGGGGCACUUGGAUUUGAACCAGGGACCUCUUGAUCUGCAGUCAAAUGCUCUACCACUGAGCUAUACCCCCUGCUCCUUCAGUUCUGCUCUGUAAAGCUAACUCAUUUUCCCUGCAUCAAAACUGCAGUGUUCAUACUAUUGCCUGACAUUUAGAGAAAGUACACUAUGAUUCAUUUGCAUCACUUUAAAAUUAAUUGUUUCACUUACAUUUCUCUAAAUGCUUCAGUGAUUUAUGGAGUAGGGUAGACUAAAAAUACAAACUACUCGAUUUUACAUCAUUGGGAAAGAAUGAUGGGCUGUCCUGGCAGUGAAGUCCCCACCUACUAACUUCCUGAUAUUUCAUUAGCCAACAUACACACAAGUUUGUCUUUGAUAAUAUAGCAGGCAGGAACUUCCUUUCCCCCCCCCUUCCCUUUUUUUUUUAAUGACAGCUGAGAUUCUCAGACAGCUGAAUUCAGUAACCAAUACAACAACAAAUAAAAGUGCAAAAUGUUGCACAGUAGUGAGGUGGCCUGUUUCUGUUCAGGGUUCUAGCCAGCCAUGCCCUCUUCCAGGAUUCUCAGCACACAAACAGGAAGAGGGGGAUGGAGAAGGCAAGGAGUAUGUCAGCCUAAGUCUCAUAUAUGUAAUAUUUAUAAAGGUAUUUAUUUACCGUCAUCUCAUAAAAUGUGAGGGUAGUGUACAAUAAUGUGUACACAUCACUGAUACAGUGCAGAAUAAUAAUUAAAAUGAUUAAAACAAUACUAGCACUUAUGAAAACAGCCAUAUUUAACAUUCCUUAUUCAUGGUUUUACAUGAUGUGAACUGAGCCAUUAUAUACAAAAUCUACACAUGAAUAGGUUUACUUUUCCAUAUGCGGCUGGCAAGCACAUGGGCGCUGGCUUUUCAGUGGUGGCCCCAAUAUUGUGAAAUACCCAAGCAUUAUUAGGCAGGACCCAUCCCUGGAUAAACCUUGGCUUGCAGAAAAUAAUUGUGGCUGGGUAUCUGAUUGUGUGGCCAGGUCUUGGUUACUAUUUUAUGCUCCAUUUUUUAUAUUGGAUUGUUAGUUAUAAUAAUAUAGGAUUGUAUUAUGAAAUUGUUUUCCUACAAGUUUUUUUUAA
Long non-coding RNA from Podarcis raffonei (Aeolian wall lizard), 2109 nucleotides. RefSeq lists it as uncharacterized. The transcript has 2 exons. Lineage: Eukaryota; Metazoa; Chordata; Lepidosauria; Squamata; Lacertidae. The record is from RefSeq and is a predicted model, not a curated record.